UAGGGAAUCUUCGGCAAUGGGGGGAACCCUGACCGAGCAACGCCGCGUGAGUGAAGAAGGCUUUCGGAUCGUAAAGCUCUGUUGUUAAGGAAGAACGAGUGUGAGAAUGGAAAGUUCAUGCUGUGACGGUACUUAACCAGAAAGGGACGGCUAACUACGUGCCAGCAGCCGCGGUAAUACGUAGGUCCCGAGCGUUUUCCGGAUUUAUUGGGCGUAAAGCGAGCGCAGGCGGUCAAUUAAGUCUGAUGUGAAAGCCCCCGGCUCAACCGGGGAGGGUCAUUGGAAACUGGUUGACUUGAGUGCAGAGGAGGAGAGUGGAAAUCCAUGUGUAGCGGUGAAAUGCGUAGAUAUAUGGAGGAACACCAGUGGCGAAGGCGACUCUCUGGUCUGUAACUGACGCUGAGGCUCGAAAGCGUGGGUAGCAAACAGG
This 430-nucleotide ribosomal RNA is filed under the name Bacteroidota bacterium. Its description in RNAcentral is "Bacteroidetes bacterium partial 16S ribosomal RNA". It matches the Rfam family "Bacterial small subunit ribosomal RNA", at positions 355 to 776 of the family's 1533-position model. Lineage: Bacteria; Pseudomonadati; Bacteroidota. The record is from RNAcentral.